CUCGUAUGUAAUUAGUGGUUGGCUCUCAUGAUGAUGGGCAGAUCACUUUGUAAACAUCUUCACUUUAUUUGUCACCACCAAACCUUAACUUAACCUUUUACCAUUGUUUUUCAAAGUUACGUUUCACUUUGGGUCCUUUAUUUCUGUCACGUCAUUCACCAGAGAUUCCUUGGAUGUGGUUUGAUAGAAACUUAGGCAGAUGAAUUUUUUCGUAAGAAUGAAGGUAUUUAAAAGUAAAUGGGUGGUGGUUGGCUGUGGCGUGUGUAUUAUUAUUAUCUAAUUCUUAUACAAUUAACCAUUUCCUGAAUCCUUAUUCUCAUUAAGUACCAAUCCAAUCAGAGUAUGCAUACACACCUUCGUCAGUCAGUGACUGUUUUUACUUUCAUGUAAAUUGCUGCAAUAUCUCAACCUAAACGUAAAGUGGUAUCGCUGUCGUCGUUUCAAGCGUCGGAUGAAAUGAAGGUUUUAGUCAUCAGUGUUGAUCUGUAAAAUUUCAAAUGGAUCAAGCAGUUAAGUGGUUUGUGUACACAACGACGAGAAGUAAUAAUGAUGCAAGGGUAUCUCUUACUAUGUAUGUACAUAUUAUUCAGUAAUUUAAAUCAUGUCGUCGCACUGAUGACUUGCCCACCCUCCUCCUUGCCCUUAUAUAAACCCGUGGGGUAUCGAGAUCAAAGGCACAUUUGGCCAGAAGGGCUGGGAUAAGUUGUGUGGCUCAGAAAUUUGUUUUACAAAAGAUUUGAAAAUGAAUCGAUUGCAAAUGAUACUCGCCGGUCUCUUGGGAUUGUGCGUAGUGGUCUUUGCCGGAUAUGGUCAUGGGGGUGGCGGCGGAGGUCAUGGAGGAUACGGUGGGGGCGGUGGUGGACAUGGGGGAU
Long non-coding RNA from Folsomia candida, 872 nucleotides. RefSeq lists it as uncharacterized. Lineage: Eukaryota; Metazoa; Arthropoda; Collembola; Entomobryomorpha; Isotomidae. The record is from RefSeq and is a predicted model, not a curated record. The transcript is spliced from 3 exons.